Long non-coding RNA from Homo sapiens (human), 5140 nucleotides. Ensembl annotates it as PROX1 antisense RNA 1. Its record names the gene PROX1-AS1. The record is from Ensembl. NCBI's taxonomy places the organism in Eukaryota, Metazoa, Chordata, Mammalia, Primates, Hominidae.
CAGAGAGAACCAUUCUCUGCUUUCAAUAGGACAGAAGAGCUCCUUGGCACUGGAUGCCUCCGGGUCUGGUUGAGAGAGGAAUGGUUAGGAGACUGUUCUGAGGAUACGCAGACAUCAUCCAAAGCUUCCUACAUUCAGAUGAGGACAGAGGUUGGGCCAGAGCUUUGUAAGCUUGUUACCUAAGGAUGGUUCUGACCAUGUAAGCAGAUCACAGAAGCACUGUUCACAAUAGCAAAGACUUGGAACCAAUCCAAAUGCCCAUCAAUGAACACCUGGAUAAAGAAAAUGUGGCACAUACACAGCAUGGAAUACUAUGCAGCCAUAAAUAAGGAUGAAUUCAUGUCCUUUGCAGGGACAUGGAUGAAGCUGGAAAACAUCAUUCUCAGCAAACUAAGCUGGAGGCAAAGGAUGCCAAGAUGGGAAAGCCACAUAAUGGAAGGAUCCUGGAUUUCAGAGCUGUCACUUGGAGGAGGGGCACCCAGUGAAGGUGUCUUAUCUAACCCACACCAUAUCUUCAUGAAGUGGCCAUAUGGAUUUGAUCCCUAUCCUUCAGAGGUGCUCAGCCUAAGGGAACACGGAUAGUAGAUUAAGCACUGACCAGAGCCAGCCUUGACAAUGUGCUGAUGGCAACCUAGAACAUAAGCAGAGGAGUAUACAGGACAAGAACUUGAUGGUCUCGGGAAAAUGGACAACAUGACUCAGGUGAAAAAGAUUGAUCAUCAGAUGUUUCUUAUGUAUCAACCUGAUAUUUAAAUCCAUGAAGGACAGAGACGACAAAGGCAGGUGGAAUAGAUAGAGAAGAGAUUCAAGGUCUGAGCUCUACAUUACUCAAACUGUUAGAGAUUAGGAAGAAGAGGAAGACCUGGCAAAAGAAUGUCCUGGGAUGUAGAAAGAAAACCAGAAGCUUGUGUUCUCUGGAAACCAAAUGAAGAAAGGGCUUCCAGAAGGACAGACAAAGUGUAGUGUGUCAAAGGCUCCUGAGCAAUCAGAGGAGAGCACAAAGGGGCUCACAGGACUUUGGUAUCUGGAUCACCCAGUGACACUUCCUGAUCACGAGAAACUGUCAGACCAACAGGGGCACUUUCUGAAACCAGCAGUUCUUCAGUGCCCAAAUGCAACCUUGAUGGUUUGAUUUUGGAGGAUGGCAAUUCAUUAACAGCACUCCCCAGUGAUAAAUAUGAAAACCAAUAAAACCCCCCACCCAAGGCAAUCUCUCCCAGCUCCUCGCUUUGAGUAAAGUGAGUAACCUCCAUUUCUGCCAACUCCUGUCUUGUCUGAAGCCACAUUUCCCCAGCAAUGUCACAUAUGCAUUUCUUGAUCCUGGUCAUUUCUCCUCUUGGGAGAUGAAUCAUAAAGAAAAUGAGAUCUGUGUGCCCUGGUGACUAUGGAUGCAAGAGUCUGCUGCCCUGGAGGGAACAGCUGGAAAAGUAGAUGGUGAAGACGUGUGGGGGGGAAACAGUGGAGAAGGCAUCUUUGCAGGGGAUCAAGGUGACAGAGUGAUUAGUUACACUGUUUUGACAUGUGAGAACAGGGGGUUAUAAAAAUGGAUACAGGAAGAGGGAGAGAAAGUAAGGACCAAAACAUGAAGCCAGUCAUGAAUGUUUUUACAUAAAAAGCAGCAGAUUUACGGCAAAUAUGUGAUGUUUCCACAUUUUCUGCCUCUAGUUAGCAGGGGCAGCACAAAGAGCAUUACUGUGGAGCUGAACUUUGGGUAAAAGAUUAACAGCCAGUCCUUUCUCUCCAGUGUCUGCUUCCUUCUGGGCUUGCCCUGGGGGAAAAGGAGGGCUGGCAUGGAUAUGCCUGCAGCCCUCACCCUAGAUGUUCUUCCACGCCUCUCUGUUCAUUCAUUGCUUAGUCAUUCCUCAGGCAUGGAUUGAGACCACUGUGUGCCCAGGACCGACCUGGCCUAGGAUGGACAUAGAGAUGGAAAAGGCACAGGGAGCAGGUGACAGAGACAAAUCAAGGUCAUGGAGAAUAGCAGAGUAAGAUAGAAGAUGAAGGCAGGAGAUGGGGUUCUUGAGAAAGCGAGAGCAGGACUGACCCGUGUCUGCCUCACCUGUUAUUGCUGUAGCCUCUUCUCCUUGGAGUAUCCCUCCUGCUCUUGCAUCACCUUAGGAACUUGGAUCAGAGAGGAAAGUUACGGCCUGGAUAUGUUGUAGUAGGAGGGGACAAACAUGUUUGGAGACAGAAAUGCUUGGGGAGCGGGUGUUUUUGGGGGAUGAGACUUUCCAGGUCUCUCAAUUCACACUAUGUAGGUAGUUCACUGCACAGCUUAAAUAAGAGACAACUCUCCGGAGUGGUUGGCUCUCAUCCAAAAAAUGUGUUUUGGGCCUCAGAUUUCCAACGGAAGGGCUGAAGCGUGACUGGCCUGAUGUCAACUACUGAAGUCCACCUGCCCCUGCCCUAUCAGGUGUGGAAAUGCUGGGGUUCCUCUCUCAGAACCUACUUCCUGAGAUGUCGAAAUAUACCCAAGAGUAUUUCUGGGCCUUCUCCAAUCCGAAACUGUUUAGUUUUUGUGUGUGUGUGCCUACUUGGCCACACUAGAAGACAGAGGUGGCCUGGGUGAAAUGCAGGUUUCUAGAGGCUCUCUGACAAAGCUCAGGCCACCAGCCCCAGGCCAGCCUGUGGGUAGUCCUGGCUGACAGUCACUUCAUACCUCACCUGGGCUUUUUGCCAAAUUCAAAGUGUGUGUAUAUGUGGAGUGCUGGGUUCCCACCACUGACAGUCUGUAAGUCAUUCACUUAGCUCAAUUUGUCUUACUUUCUUCUGAAAUUUCUUCCUUCUUGUUCUUUUUCCCAGGAGAAACCAGGAGAAGGCAGUCCUAGGGCAGUCUCCGGGCCAGCUUUCCCUAAUAAGAAGGCAGAGCUCCUCUUCACCCAGACUUCAGACCUAUAGAGGCAGCCUGGGGUCCCGGGAUGCCCUUGCACUCAGAGAUGUCCCCAGAGUCCUAGGGAAAUGGAGGAUAACUAGGAGGAAGCUGUUCAUGGCUGGCGAUGAGGUCUAUACCUUCUUGUCCGUCUCAGUGCUGUCUGCUAUUGAAUUUUUGUGCAGAUCACAUUAACUUAAAGCCAGUUCUCAAGAAGCUCCCCCUGCCGCCGGCAUAUCCACCAGUUGCUCCCCUUUCCUGCCAUUAAUCAGGGUCUGCUAGUUAGAGAACAAAUUCCUAUUUGUCCAAACAGUUGCCAACACCCCCACCCCAAGGUAGUUAAAUGAGGAUGAAUGGGUCAUUCUUAUUAAAAAAUGACUUAAAUUUCUCAAAUUCUAUUUAUGUUUCUUUUACAUCCCAAUUUUCUAUAGAUUUAGUGACUCCAAAUGAUAAGGUCUCAAGCUCAUAAUAAUUUAUCCCUUGGGUAACACACAAGGCUUGGUGGUAUUUCAGUAAUAUUCAUGACAACAGCAGCUGUCGUGCUAAUAAGGACUGAUGUCACCAGAGCACUUUCUAUGUGCCAAGCAUGGUGCACAACACUUUACAUACAUUAUGUCAUUUAAUUUUCACAAAACCUCACAGAGGUAAAUAUUAUUAUCUUCCUCUGCAUAUAAGGAAAUGAAUGUUCGGAAAGAUUAAGUCAACUCACUGAGGUCCCAUCAGUGCUCUUUCAUAUGCCUCUGUUGCAGUCUCAUUGAACUGCUGAAAUCAGAAAAACCUGGAGACCUUGUUAACCUUCAGAUUCCUGGGCCCCAUCUUAGAUGCAGGGAGUCAGACUUCCUGGGAGUGUGGCCCUGGAAUUUUCAUUUGUAAACACAUUCCCCAAGAGACCUGUAUGCACACUAAAGUGGGAGAAUUCACGAUCUCUGGCUUUUGUGAUGUUUUAAACGCACUAUAUAAUUUCAGUAGCAAAAGAAUUGGGCUUUGGGAAGGGAGUGUGUGGUGAACCCUGAAAGCUGAAUGGACUUCCUUCCUGUGGAGGAGCAGUGGGAGAAACUGGAGGCAGAGAGCUGUGUUUCAUUCCUUGAUUGAGCCUUUGUGAGUUAUUUAAUCUCUUUCAGUCUCUAUUUUUUUCAUUUGUAAACCAGGAAGGAUACUUGUAUUUUCCAGGUGGUUGUGAGGUGUGAAAGAGAUGAGAGUAGAACAAAAUUUUAAAAGUUGAAAGCACUCAACAAAUGUAUUUGGUAUUAAUCAUGGGUUUCCCUGGGGCCGAGGAAGCCACCAGCCACCGCAGGCCUGUACACAAUGCCAGCCACCAUGUAUGGAUACGGAGGAGGCAAAAGGACUAGCGAACACUCCCAGGGACUGGAUGUCUUGAAUAUCUGUCCAACUUUCUUGGGAGGGGCCAUUUCUUCUGUAACUCAAAGGAAUUUAUUAUUUUUCAGCCAGGGAGGCAUGCUUUCUAUCUACUGCUAGUACUCCCAGACCAAGCUGUUUCAGUGGGACUGAGGUGUGACUUCUGCCUCGGUUUCAUCCAUCUGUGCAGGGAAGAGAAAAAUGCCUGCACCUCCACGGUCACACCCUCUGUUGGAACCACCUCCUUAAGCCAGAAUUAUUGAAUGUUCUCUAUGUGCCAGAAUUAUUAUUAUCUCAUUUGAUUCUCACAACAAUGCCAUGAAGUCUAUACAGACAUACCUUGGAAAUACAGCGGGUUUGGUUCCAGACCACCGCAAUAAAGCUAAUACCGCAAUAAAAUGGGUCACACGAAUUUUUUGGAUUAGGCUUCGGCUUAAGGGAAUGUUGUGGCUGGUUUGAUGUUUUAUCCAGACCGCUAACACUUUCUCCCUAUCAGCAAUGAGGCUGUUUUGCUUUCUUAUCAUUCCUGUGUUCACUGGAGUAGCACUUUUAAUUUCCUUCAAGAACUUUUCCUUUGCAUUCAUAACUUGGCUAACUGUUUGGCACAAGAGGCCUGCCUAGCUUUUGGCCUAUCUAAGCUUUUGACUUGCCUUCCUCACUGAGCUUAAUCAUCUCUAGCCUUGGAUUUAACGUGGAAAAUGUGUGACCCUUCCUUUCACUUGAACACUUGGAAGCUAUUGUAGGGUUAUUAACUGGCCUAAUUCAAUAUUAUUGUGUCUCAGGGAACAGGGAGGCCCAGAGAGAGAGAGACGGGAAAACAGAAAGUCAGUGGGGCAGGCAGAACACACACGUUUAUUUAUUAAGUUUGCUGUCAUAUGUUGGUGCAGUUCAUGCUGCCCCAAAACAAUUACAAUAACA